UAGGGAAUCUUCCGCAAUGGACGCAAGUCUGACGGAGCAACGCCGCGUGAGUGAAGAAGGAUUUCGGUUCGUAAAACUCUGUUGUUAGAGAAGAACAGCGCAUAGAGUAACUGUUAUGCGUGUGACGGUAUCUAACCAGAAAGCCACGGCUAACUACGUGCCAGCAGCCGCGGUAAUACGUAGGUGGCAAGCGUUGUCCGGAUUUAUUGGGCGUAAAGCGAGCGCAGGCGGUCAAUUAAGUCUGAUGUGAAAGCCCCCGGCUCAACCGGGGAGGGUCAUUGGAAACUGGUUGACUUGAGUGCAGAAGAGGAGAGUGGAAUUCCAUGUGUAGCGGUGAAAUGCGUAGAUAUAUGGAGGAACACCAGUGGCGAAGGCGACUUUCUGGUCUGUAACAGACGCUGAGGUUCGAAAGCGUGGGUAGCAAACAGG
This 429-nucleotide ribosomal RNA is filed under the name Bacteroidota bacterium. Its description in RNAcentral is "Bacteroidetes bacterium partial 16S ribosomal RNA". It matches the Rfam family "Bacterial small subunit ribosomal RNA", at positions 355 to 776 of the family's 1533-position model. The record is from RNAcentral. Lineage: Bacteria; Pseudomonadati; Bacteroidota.